CCUACGGGGUGCAGCAGUGAGGAAUAUUGGUCAAUGGCCGUAAGGCUGAACCAGCCAAGUCGCGUGAAGGAAGAAGGAUCUAUGGUUUGUAAACUUCUUUUAUAGGGGAAUAAAGGUAUCCACGUGUGGAUAUUUGCAUGUACCCUAUGAAUAAGCAUCGGCUAACUCCGUGCCAGCAGCCGCGGUAAUACGGAGGAUGCGAGCGUUAUCCGGAUUUAUUGGGUUUAAAGGGUGCGUAGGUUGGUUUUUAAGUCAGCGGUGAAAGUUUGUGGCUCAACCAUAAAAGUGCCGUUGAAACUGGAAGACUUGAGUGUGUUUGAGGUAGGCGGAAUGCGUGGUGUAGCGGUGAAAUGCAUAGAUAUCACGCAGAACUCCGAUUGCGAAGGCAGCUUACUAAGCCAUAACUGACACUGAAGCACGAAAGCGUGGGGAGCAAACAGGAUUAGAUACCCCAGUAGUC
RNAcentral lists this ribosomal RNA (460 nucleotides) under uncultured bacterium. Its description in RNAcentral is "partial 16S ribosomal RNA". It matches the Rfam family "Bacterial small subunit ribosomal RNA", at positions 338 to 795 of the family's 1533-position model. The record is from RNAcentral.